Long non-coding RNA from Gallus gallus (chicken), 3442 nucleotides. The record is from Ensembl. Lineage: Eukaryota; Metazoa; Chordata; Aves; Galliformes; Phasianidae.
UCAUAAUUAAGCAAAUGCCGUUCUGAAACAAUUUUAAAGAAAUAUGUUCCACAUCACCAUGCUGUCAAUUACAUAUAAUAUUGUAGCAUCAUCGUGAUUUCAGUUAAAAUUAGGUCUUAGCGAAAGCAAGUCCUCAUCAUUUCUUCACGGCUUGCAGAGAACACGGGCUUCUCUGUGGGAGGGAAUGUAUUGCAAAACCGGUGGGACAAAGAAAGACAUUACGAACAAAAGACCUUGCAAAUGAGCAAACAAGCUCAGCAACUACUUGCGCCAUACAUAACACACACGAGGCGCCUGGCUCCUACAUAUGUCCAAGGGGUUGUUGCGAGGGUAUAAAAGACAUCUUCGUUCUGCACCUGCAAUUGCGUCCGUGCCUCUCCUGCCACAAUUGGCGCACGAAUAGGGACACGAAAAGCAGAGCGGGCUGAAAUAAGCACUAUCGAGAGAGCACUGAGAAGCGCGGGGCUGCGAGAAGCCCUGUCAAGAGAGAGCUGAGAGGAGCGUGGGGCUGAAAGAAGCCCUAUCGAGAGAGCGCUGAGAGAAGAGCAGAGAUGAGAGACGCCUUAUCGAGAGAGCGUUGAGAGAAACGCGAGGAUGAGAGAAGCCAUGGAGAAGGCGUUGAGAGAAACGCGAGGCUCAACAUAGAAGAAGCCUGUACAGGGGAGCGUUGAGAGAAACGCGGCUGCCCGAGGUUUCAUCGCACAGCCGAAUCACUUCUGCAGGACGGAGGUUCUCGAUACAUGAUGUGGAUGGGCUUUUGGGGAGAAUCUGCACAACAAAAGGCGCUGGAAUGGCAGCUAUCGGAGCUCAGCGACUCGCAGUAGAGCAUGCAGACCCUGAGCCUAUGGCUCAUCCACCACCACAGGCACUCGGCAUUUACCGUCGGCACGUGGGAGCAGGAGCUGUGGAAAGUUGCUGCUGAGACAUAGGCUUGUGUUUGGACCCUCACUCGUUCCAGCUGUUGGCACUGAUGCAGUGUAUUUUUUUCUGAACCUUUUAGCUUUUGUAGCAGUUGCUCGAUGCUCCAGAAAAUUCUAAGGAAUGGGUCUGAGAUGUGUACCAGCAUGAUGGGUCCAGUCAUUCCCCUCAUCAUCUGCUGUAACAUGAUCACCAUGCAUUCAUCAGCGGUUUGGAUUCCAGCUCAACCAAAACAGAAUAUAUGGGUCACCCUCGCCAACAAGAUGGGACAAGACACACUUUGCUUGUCAAUUGCGUCACCAGGGAACCAUAUGAAUUGGAAUUGUUGGGAUUGGUUAGAAUGGACUAUUGAUCGUACUUCAACUAUACUGGAAAGAACCAAUCAUUCAGUGUUAGUUUAGUUGUUUAUAGGAAUGUUUCUGAACUGCGCCUUUCUUUUUAUUAAUAGAGAAGGGGGAGAUGUGGGACAAAGAAAGACAUCAUGAACAAAAGACUUUGCAGAUGAGUAAACAAGCUGAGCAACUACUUGCACCGGACAUAAACACACACGAGGCCUCUGGCUCCUAUAUGUGAUCAAGGGGUUGUUGCAUGAGUCUAAACGGUUGCCUCUCCUGCCACAAAGGCCCACCAAUUUCCUGUUACUGAGCUGAGAAAUGGUGACACUAAGUGGCCAUGAGUAAACCUACAGUGCCCAAAAUAGACUCAAGAGCAGUGGUCUUGUGUACACCAGCAUGGAUACCAGUCCUGCUCAGAACACAUGCUAUCCACACCAUGCUGCAGGACAUCUAGGCCUUAGCUUGUUGGAGCAUGACUGAGCCCCUGAUACCACAAAGGAGAGCAUAUUGCUCAGUUGGUACUGGUGUUCAGACCACUGAGCUUUAGUGGCCUGUAGCUGUCCUGAGAUCACACUGAGAGGCUGAGAGCAUCUCCAUGAAAUUUUUAGCUUAGAUGCAGGAUGGGCACUUCCUCUGUCAGCUGUGGGCACCUGGGGGAAACUCAAGAGCUUGUCUGAUCCAGGCCCCAUCCAGCUUCUUUAUAUGAAAUAUAUUAUUAAAAACAAAACAAAACAAAACAAAAAAAAACAUGGUUCCAAGUCUUCUCUAGAUACUGUUAAGAUUGCAUAAGCUUAGGGAAAUAAUAUAACUGAAGUUAUGUCAGGAGCUGGAAAUAGUAUGAGGUUCACAAGGUGAUGCUGAGGGAACAUAAAAUCUGAUGUAGUUCCUUCUCAUUUCUAUUGAUCUGAAAGAGGAACUACAUCUCAAAUGCAGUGUACCUGAUGGUUUAACUGUCCUUUUUAAGAUUUAUGUCUAAAACUGGAAAUAACCUGUCUGUUCAAUAAUUUCUUCUAUUAAUAAUCAAUAAUUCUCUUCUAUUAAUUCUAAAAGUGGUGGAAUUAGAAAAAAAAAAUUACUGAAUUCAUUCACUUGAAUGUUUGUUUCCAUGCACCAAGUAAUAAAUAUUCAUCAUGGAGAUUUACAUAAAGUGCUUUUUUUGCUGCAUGUUUUAUAUUUAUUACUGAAGAAGAUAUUUUAUGUAAUUACAAACUUCCACAUAGUCUACCAAAUUGCUUUUCAAACUCUUAAAGGGUUCACUGGAGAUGCUGCGUGCUAUUGUCAUUUUGAUUCAUAACAACCAGUUUUAACAACCUUACAAAGAAACACAGUUCUCAUUUAUAGUCUGCAUUAAGGGUAGAUAUUUGAUAUAUGUCAUCAUUAAUAAAUGAAAGAUAUUCCUUUCAGAACCACAAAAGACACUGUAAUUAACAACAUGAUGGUAGGUUGGAAAAUAGAUGGCAAACUGUAGAAGUAAUUGGCCACAUAGGGACUGUCUUCCAGUCAUUUAAAAACAGAAAUAUUUGAGGUGUAUAACAUCAAUUUAAUACAUGAUUUCAGCUGAGGCUGAUUGUUCCAAGAAUAAGAGAAUGUGUGGUUUUACAGUUACAGUAAAAAUCUUCAUCUAGCACAGCUAUUAAUCCUAGCCUGAUGUUACCAUUUAAUUAAUUUCAUUAUCAGAUUUAAAUUAAAUAUAUAUUUGACAUUAAAGGUGAAAUGUUAGGAGAAAUAACUUGUAAAAAAGCUAAUAGCCAAACCAAGGAGGGAAUGUUAUAUUUUAGUUUUUCUAAUUGCUUGAUUUAACACCAAACAUGUGUCUUCUUUGUGCAUUUUCCUGUUCCCAGUUCGGUUAGGUAAUCAUUUCUGUGUGAAUCACCAAAGAAGUAUUUUAAACUGUAUCCCAUUAACACUGAAAGAGCUGGGAAUAAAGAGUUUGUUUCUUCAGGAAAUAACAGUGUUUUAUUCCAUCAUUGCUUCCUAUAUUUUUUGUUCAUUUAAUAUAUUCCUUGUGCUUGCCUUCUGUUAUGUAUUUCUCAUAGUACAAGCACAGCAUUCACUAAUGCAUUUCCUCACAUUAAACAUUGUUCUCAGAAGACAGAAGAUCCAGUUUUACUCUUCAGUCUUAUCAUGUUGCAAAGCAUACAACAGUAAAAGUGCAACAGUUUUGUCAUUCAUUAACUUGCAAACCCAAC